Non-coding RNA from Podarcis lilfordi (Lilford's wall lizard), 76 nucleotides. NCBI's taxonomy places the organism in Eukaryota, Metazoa, Chordata, Lepidosauria, Squamata, Lacertidae. The record is from the annotation of a GenBank genome assembly.
GGGCUGUAUGUCGUUCAGUGGUAGAGUGUUGUGUUUUCUAUGCAGAAGGUCCCAGGUUCAACCCCUGGGAUCUUCA